UACGAAGGUCCCGAGCGUUGUUCGGAAUCACUGGGCGUAAAGGGAGCGUAGGCGGCGUGGUAAGUCAGAUGUGAAAUCCCGGGGCUCAACCCCGGAACUGCAUCCGAUACUGCCGUGCUAGAGGAUUGGAGAGGUAGCUGGAAUUCUUGGUUGUAGCAGUGAAAUGCGUGGAGAUCAAGAGGAACACUCGUGGCGAAAGCGAGCUUACUGGACAAUAUCUGACGCUGAGGCUCGAAGGCCAGGUAGCGAAAGG
This 253-nucleotide ribosomal RNA is filed under the name uncultured bacterium. RNAcentral's name for it is "partial 16S ribosomal RNA". It matches the Rfam family "Bacterial small subunit ribosomal RNA", at positions 524 to 775 of the family's 1533-position model. The record is from RNAcentral.